RNAcentral lists this antisense RNA (75 nucleotides) under Pseudofrankia inefficax. RNAcentral describes it as "Frankia sp. EuI1c ASpks TB sRNA". It matches the Rfam family "ASpks TB sRNA". The record is from Rfam by way of RNAcentral. Lineage: Bacteria; Bacillati; Actinomycetota; Actinomycetes; Frankiales; Frankiaceae.
CUUGACCGAGCCCAGCCACAGCGGGGCCUCGGCCGGCCGGCCCUGGCCGUAGGUCGCCAGCAGCGCCUGGGCCUC